GACUUAUAGAGGCUUUUAGAGGCUUAACUUGAGGAUCGGAGCCUUGUUGAGCAGUAUAUUGGGACUUCGUGUGACUAAUUGGAGCUUCAUAAUAGAGCCAUCUACAGGAGAGGCUAGGGAUCGUG
Molecule: long non-coding RNA, 125 nt
Organism: Ananas comosus (pineapple)
Lineage: Eukaryota; Viridiplantae; Streptophyta; Magnoliopsida; Poales; Bromeliaceae
Exons: 3
Source: RefSeq, a predicted model, not a curated record